UACGUAGGCGGCAAGCGUUGUCCGGAAUUAUUGGGCGUAAAGGGAGCGCAGGCGGGAAACUAAGCGGAUCUUAAAAGUGCGGGGCUCAACCCCGUGAUGGGGUCCGAACUUGUUUUCUUGAGUGCAGGAGAGGAAAGCGGAAUUCCCAGUGUAGCGGUGAAAUGCGUAGAUAUUGGGAAGAACACCAGUGGCGAAGGCGGCUUUCUGGACUGUAACUGACGCUGAGGCUCGAAAGCUAGGGUAGCGAACGGG
Molecule: ribosomal RNA, 252 nt
Filed under: Megamonas funiformis YIT 11815
Lineage: Bacteria; Bacillati; Bacillota; Negativicutes; Selenomonadales; Selenomonadaceae
Description: partial 16S ribosomal RNA
Rfam family: Bacterial small subunit ribosomal RNA
Source: RNAcentral